This 300-nucleotide long non-coding RNA is filed under the name Vitis vinifera (wine grape). RNAcentral describes it as "long non-coding RNA (VVIN_LNC001989)". Lineage: Eukaryota; Viridiplantae; Streptophyta; Magnoliopsida; Vitales; Vitaceae. The record is from RNAcentral.
UUUCUUGCUUGAUUGAAUGAUGGUUGUCUCCUGAAGAAAAAGAAAUUCCUUAAUGGUAGGCUCUGAGUUGCAUGAGAAUGGUUCAGUGGGAGAUGGCCUCGGAGGUUUGAGGAGGAAAAAAUGGUUUUUGCUGAGUUUCUAUAGUGACAAUGUAUUGACUUCUUGGGAUAAUUGUUGAAAUGAAUGGCCUUCAUUGUUGUACAAUGUAGAAGGGUGCAUCCAAAUUAGGGGUUCCAGUACAUCCAUUCUUGGGAUAAUUCAUAAAAUGAAUGACCUUCAUUGUUGUAGUAUGUAGAAGGG